RNAcentral lists this ribosomal RNA (465 nucleotides) under uncultured bacterium. RNAcentral describes it as "partial 16S ribosomal RNA". It matches the Rfam family "Bacterial small subunit ribosomal RNA", at positions 28 to 507 of the family's 1533-position model. The record is from RNAcentral.
GACGAACGCUGGCGGCGUGCUUAACACAUGCAAGUCGAACGGAAAGGCCCUGCUUGCCGGGUACUCGAGUGGCGAACGGGUGAGUAACACGCGGGUGAUCUGCCCUGCACUUCGGGAUAAGCCUGGGAAACUGGGUCUAAUACCGGAUAGGAGCCAUCUUUAGUGUGAUGGUUGGAAAGUUUUUUUGGUGUAGGGUGAGCUCGCGGCCUAUCAGGCUGUUUGUGGGGUAAUGGCCUACCAAGGCGGCGACGGGUAGCCGGCCUGGCAGGGUGGACGGCCACAUUGGGACUGGGGUACGGCCCAGACUCCUACGGGGGGCAGGAGGGGGGAAUAUUGCACAAUGGGCGCGAGCCCGAUGCAGCGAAGGCGCGUGGGGGAUGGCGGGCUUCGGGUUGUAAACUCCUUUCGGUAGGGAAGAAGCUUUUUGUGACGGUAACUAGAUAAGAAGCACCGGCUAACUACGUG